This 253-nucleotide ribosomal RNA is filed under the name uncultured bacterium. RNAcentral's name for it is "partial 16S ribosomal RNA". It matches the Rfam family "Bacterial small subunit ribosomal RNA", at positions 524 to 776 of the family's 1533-position model. The record is from RNAcentral.
UACGUAGGGUGCGAGCGUUGUCCGGAAUUGCUGGGCGUAAAGAGCUCGUAGGUGGUUUGUCGCGUUGUCCGUGAAAACUCACAACUCAAUUGUGGGCGUGCGGGCGAUACGGGCAGACUGGAGUACUGCAGGGGAGACUGGAAUUCCUGGUGUAGCGGUGGAAUGCGCAGAUAUCAGGAAGAACACCCGUGGCGAAGGCGGGUUGCUGGGCCGACACUGACGCUGAUGCGCGAAAGCGUGGGGAGCAAACAGG